This is a long non-coding RNA of Hirundo rustica (Barn swallow), 395 nucleotides long. RefSeq lists it as uncharacterized. The record is from RefSeq and is a predicted model, not a curated record. The transcript has 3 exons. NCBI's taxonomy places the organism in Eukaryota, Metazoa, Chordata, Aves, Passeriformes, Hirundinidae.
GGUUUACUUCCCUACCUCUUGUUCCUUUGCUUCCAUGCAGUUAGCAAUAAGAACUACAGGUGACUAUUUCUCUGCCUACUUGCAGCCAGAAUGAUUUCCUUGGGGGUUAUGUGCACAGUGAUACCUUCACCUAUGUCACUAGAAGAUCCUGUUCCUUAAUAUAAAAGGAUUUUUUUCCUCAUUUGUCAUACUGGAUGUUGAAAGCUGUGGAGACAUCUACAACCUGCCCUUCAGGUUCCAGUAGCUGAUUACAAAGAGAGUCUGACAGGGUCUUCAACCCUGUGGUGAUGACAGCCUGUAGAUGAGACCUUACACAAAGCAAGGCCGGGGGCCCUUCAAGCUCAUAGAUUUGUGCAAGUAUCAGGUGUAAUCUUGACCUGUACAUUUUGUGAUCA